RNAcentral lists this ribosomal RNA (210 nucleotides) under Clostridioides difficile. RNAcentral's name for it is "partial 16S ribosomal RNA". It matches the Rfam family "Bacterial small subunit ribosomal RNA", at positions 1 to 220 of the family's 1533-position model. The record is from RNAcentral. Lineage: Bacteria; Bacillati; Bacillota; Clostridia; Peptostreptococcales; Peptostreptococcaceae.
UUAUUUGAGAGUUUGAUCCUGGCUCAGGAUGAACGCUGGCGGCGUGCCUAACACAUGCAAGUUGAGCGAUUUACUUCGGUAAAGAGCGGCGGACGGGUGAGUAACGCGUGGGUAACCUACCCUGUACACACGGAUAACAUACCGAAAGGUAUGCUAAUACGGGAUAAUAUAUUUGAGAGGCAUCUCUUGAAUAUCAAAGGUGAGCCAGUA